This 4316-nucleotide long non-coding RNA is filed under the name Daucus carota (carrot). RNAcentral describes it as "long non-coding RNA (DCAR_LNC007671)". Lineage: Eukaryota; Viridiplantae; Streptophyta; Magnoliopsida; Apiales; Apiaceae. The record is from RNAcentral.
CUCCAUUUGAUUUCACCGGAAAAAUAGAGAACACAACUUCCCCCCGUAACUCUCUCGACUUCAAAAAUCAUUGCUUUUCAAGCAAAAAUAUCUCUCACAAACACGUUCACCUCUAUAUCAUUUUCUGCCUUCAAUAAGCUUCUCUGGCAUCGCCUCACCUUUCACGGCAGCUCCUACUACACAUGCAUCCCAUACUACAAAUGCAGCUUUGCCACCAUGCUUUUGCAACGCCUACCUGUAACUAUCUCGUCACACACUUAUUCUGCGGCUCCACCACCACCUGGCGGCGGAACAACAAAACCUGGCUCUGAUACCAUGUAGAAAUAAACUAUAAAACUGAUGACUUCAAAUUAAACAAGAUGAAUAUAUAUGUACAAGAGCAAAUGAACUCCAAAGACUACAUUGUAUUUCUCCUGAUAUAUUAAAAGAGAUACAUCACAUAAUAUAUAAAGGCUACCCAACAAAGUGAUAGCAACUAACUAGUGUCCACCUGAAACUAAACUCUACUACUCCAUGAUCCUAAAAACACUCAUUACUAAUCCAAUACUCUCCCACAAUUUCUCUAACUUAUCCUCUACUAAUAAAACAAUUAGUGACUAUAGUAAUUUAUUUAUUUCAAGUUUAGAUUAUUAGAAUAUAAUUCCAACAAUCUCCCCCUUAAUCUAAACUUAGCUUCUAUGCCCGUCUGGCAAGUUCUUCGGUGCCCAUCUGACUUUCUUUAUUGGCCCGUAUGACCUUUUGAACAAUUCCAACAAUCUCCCCCUUAAUCUAAACUUAGCUUCUAUGCCCGUCUGGCAAGUUCUUCGGUGCCCAUCUGACUUUCUUUAUUGGCCCGUAUGACCUUUUGAACUGAGCCCGUAUGGCUAUUUUGUUUUGCCCGUCUGGCUACGUCUUCAUCUGCCCGUAUGGCUUUCAAUUUAGCCCGUAUGGCUUUCAACCCAUUUGGUUUUCAACUUAGCCCGUAUGACCCUUCUUAUUUGCCUAUCUGGCACGUCUUGUUUGCCCAUAUUGCACACUUGUUUGCCCAUCUGGCCUUUUUUUUCUUGCCCAUUUGGCACUUUUUUCUUGCCCAUCUGGCACGUUCACCUCCAUUUGAUUUCACCGGAAAAAUAGAGAACACAACUUCCCCCCAUAACUCUCUCGACUUCAAAAAUCAUUGCUUUUCAAGCAAAAAUAUCUCUCACAAACACGUUCACCUCUAUAUCAUUUUCUGCCUUCAGUAAGCUUCUCUGGCAUCGCCUCACCUUUCACGGCAGCUCCUACUACACAUGCAUCCCAUACUACACAUGCAGCUUUGCCACCAUGCUUUUGUAACGCCUUCCUGUAACUAUCUCGUCACACACUUAUUCUGUGGCUCCACCACCACCUGGCGGCGGAACAACGAAACCUGGGUCUGAUACCAUGUAGAAAUAAACUAUAAAACUGAUGACUUCAAAUUAAACAAGAUGAAUAUAUAUGUAUAAGAGCAAAUGAACUCCAAAGACUACAUUGUAUUUCUCCUGAUAUAUUAAAAGAGAUACAUCACAUAAUAUAUAAAGGCUACCCAACAAAGUGAUAGCAACUAACUAGUGUCCACCUGAAACUAAACUCUACUACUCCAUGAUCCUAAAAACACUCAUUACUAAUCCAAUACUCUCCCACAAUUUCUCUAACUUAUCCUCUACUAAUAAAACAAUUAGUGAUUAUACUAAUUUAUUUAUUUCAAGUUUAGAUUAUUAGAAUAUAAUUCCAACAAUCUCCCCCUUAAUCUAAACUUAGCUUCUAUGCCCGUCUGGCAAGUUCUUCGGUGCCCAUCUGACUUUCUUUAUUGGCCCGUAUGACCUUUUGAACUGAGCCCGUAUGGCUAUUUUGUUUUGCCCGUCUGGCUACGUCUUCAUCUGCCCGUAUGGCUUUCAAUUUAGCCCGUAUGGCUUUCAACCCAUUUGGUUUUCAACUUAGCCCGUAUGACCCUUCUUAUUUGCCUAUCUGGCACGUCUUGUUUGCCCAUAUUGCACACUUGUUUGCCCAUCUGGCCUUUUUUUUCUUGCCCAUCUGGCACUUUUUUCUUGCCCAUCUGGCACGUUCACCUCCAUUUGAUUUCACCGGAAAAAUAGAGAACACAACUUCCCCCCGUAACUCUCUCGACUUAAAAAAUCAUUGCUUUUUAAGCAAAAAUAUCUCUCACAAACACGUUCACCUCUAUAUCAUUUCCUGCCUUCAGUAAGCUUCUCCGGCAUCGCCUCACCUUUCACGGCAGCUCCUACUACACAUGCAUCCCAUACUACACAUGCAGCUUUGCCACCAUGCUUUUGCAACGCCUACCUGUAACUAUCUCGUCACACACUUAUUCUGCGGCUCCACCACCACCUGGCGGCGGAACAACGAAACCUGGCUCUGAUACCAUGUAGAAAUAAACUAUAAAACUGAUGACUUCAAAUUAAACAAGAUGAAUAUAUAUGUACAAGAGCAACUGAACUCCAAAGACUACAUUGUAUUUCUCCUGAUAUAUUAAAAGAGAUACAUCACAUAAUAUAUAAAGGCUACCCAACAAAGUGAUAGCAACUAACUAGUGUCCACCUGAACCUAAACUCUACUACUCCAUGAUCCUAAAAACACUCAUUACUAAUCCAAUACUCUCCCACAAUUUCUCUAACUUAUCCUCUACUAAUAAAACAAUUAGUGAUUAUACUAAUUUAUUUAUUUCAAGUUUAGAUUAUUAGAAUAUAAUUCCAACAAUCUCCCCCUUAAUCUAAACUUAGCUUCUAUGCCCGUCUGGCAAGUUCUUCGGUGCCCAUCUGACUUUCUUUAUUGGCCCGUAUGACCUUUUGAACUGAGCCCGUAUGGCUAUUUUGUUUUGCCCGUCUGGCUACGUCUUCAUCUGCCCGUAUGGCUUUCAAUUUAGCCCGUAUGGCUUUCAACCCAUUUGGUUUUCAACUUAGCCCGUAUGACCCUUCUUAUUUGCCUAUCUGGCACGUCUUGUUUGCCCAUAUUGCACACUUGUUUGCCCAUCUGGCCUUUUUUUUCUUGCCCAUUUGGCACUUUUUUCUUGCCCAUCUGGCACGUUCACCUCCAUUUGAUUUCACCGGAAAAAUAGAGAACACAACUUCCCCCCGUAACUCUCUCGACUUCAAAAAUCAUUGCUUUUCAAGCAAAAAUAUCUCUCACAAACACGUUCACCUCUAUAUCAUUUUCUGCCUUCAGUAAGCUUCUCUGGCAUCGCCUCACCUUUCACGGCAGCUCCUACUACACAUGCAUCCCAUACUACACAUGCAGCUUUGCCACCAUGCUUUUGCAACGCCUACCUGUAACUAUCUCGUCACACACUUAUUCUGCGGCUCCACCACCACCUGGCGGCGGAACAACAAAACCUUGCUCUGAUACCAUGUAGAAAUAAACUAUAAAACUGAUGACUUCAAAUUAAACAAGAUGAAUAUAUAUGUACAAGAGCAACUGAACUCCAAAGACUACAUUGUAUUUCUCCUGAUAUAUUAAAAGAGAUACAUCACAUAAUAUAUACAUAAAGGCUACCCAAAAAAGUGAUAGCAACUAACAAGUGUCCACCUGAAACUAAACUCUACUACUCCAUGAUCCUAAAAACACUCAUUACUAAUCCAAUACUAAUCCAAUACUCUCCCACAAUUUCUCUAACUUAUCCUCUACUAAUAAAACAAUUAGUGAUUAUACUAAUUUAUUUAUUUCAAGUUUAGAUUAUUAGAAUAUAAUUCCAACAAUCUCCCCCUUAAUCUAAACUUAGCUUCUAUGCCCGUCUGGCAAGUUCUUCGGUGCCCAUCUGACUUUCUUUAUUGGCCCGUAUGACCUUUUGAACUGAGCCCGUAUGGCUAUUUUGUUUUGCUCGUCUGGCUACGUCUUCAUCCGUAUGGCUUUCAAUUUAGCCUGUAUGGCUUUCAACCCAUUUGGUUUUCAACAUAGCCCGUAUGACCCUUCUUAUUUGCCUAUCUGGCACGUCUUGUUUGCCCAUAUUACACACUUGUUUGCACAUCUGGCCUUUUUUUUCUUGCCCAUUUGGCACUUUUUUCUUGCACAUCUGGCACGUUCACCUCCGUUUGAUUUCACCGGAAAAAUAGAGAACACAACUUCCCCCGUAACUCUCUCGACUUCAAAAAUCAUUGCUUUUUAAGCAAAAAUAUCUCUCACAAACACGUUCACCUCUAUAUCAUUUUCUGCCUUCAGUAAGCUUCUCCGGCAUCGCCUCACCUUUCACGGCAGCUCCUACUACACAUGCAUCCCAUACUACACAUGCAGCUUUGCCACCAUGCUUUUGCAACGCCUACCUGUAACUAUCUCGUCACACACUUAUUCUGUGGCUCCACCACCAC